Molecule: ribosomal RNA, 427 nt
Filed under: uncultured bacterium
Lineage: Bacteria
Also listed under: 1 other name
Description: bacterial SSU rRNA
Rfam family: Bacterial small subunit ribosomal RNA
Source: RNAcentral
UGGGGAAUAUUGCGCAAUGGGGGCAACCCUGACGCAGCCAUGCCGCGUGAAUGAAGAAGGCCUUCGGGUUGUAAAGUUCUUUCGGUGACGAGGAAGGCGUGAUGUUUAAUAGGCAUCACGAUUGACGUUAAUCACAGAAGAAGCACCGGCUAACUCCGUGCCAGCAGCCGCGGUAAUACGGAGGGUGCGAGCGUUAAUCGGAAUAACUGGGCGUAAAGGGCACGCAGGCGGCUAUUUAAGUGAGGUGUGAAAUCCCCGGGCUUAACCUGGGAAUUGCAUUUCAGACUGGGUAGCUAGAGUACUUUAGGGAGGGGUAGAAUUCCACGUGUAGCGGUGAAAUGCGUAGAGAUGUGGAGGAAUACCGAAGGCGAAGGCAGCCCCUUGGGAAUGUACUGACGCUCAUGUGCGAAAGCGUGGGGAGCAAACA